Molecule: long non-coding RNA, 1637 nt
Organism: Macaca fascicularis (crab-eating macaque)
Lineage: Eukaryota; Metazoa; Chordata; Mammalia; Primates; Cercopithecidae
Source: Ensembl
UUUUUCUUUUUUUUUUUUUUUUUGAGGCAGAGUCUCACUCUGAUGCCCAGGCUGGAGUGCAGUAGUGCAAUCUUGGCUCACUACAACCUCUGCCUCCUGGGUUCAAGCAAUUCUCCAGCCUCAGCCUCCCGAGUAGCUGGGAUUAUACGCUCCCGCUACCACACCCGGCUAAUUUUUUAUAUUUUUAAUAGAGACGGGGUUUCACUGUUAGCCAGGCUGGUCUCGAACUCCUGAUCUCAAGUGAUCUGCCUGCCUCAGCCUCCCAAAGUGCUGCGAUCACAGGUGUGAGCCACCGUGCCUGGCUUAGAAAUGGGGUUUCACCAUGUUGGCCAGGCUGGUCUCAAACUCCUGAUCUGAGGUCAUCUACCCACCUCAGCCUCCCAAAGUCCUGGGAUUACAGGCAUGAGCCACUGCGCCCGGCCUCUUGUGGUUUCUUCUUUGACUCAUUGGUUGUUUAAUAGUUUGCUGUUUAAUUUCCACAUGUGUGGGGAUUUUCCAUUUUCCUUCUGCUGCUGAUUUCUAGUUUCAUUCUAUUGUGGUUGGAAACGAUACUUUGUAUGAUUUCCGUCUUCUUAAAUUUGUUAAGACUUGUUCUGUGGCCUAACCUGUGAUUUAUUCUGGAGAGUGAUCUCUGCACUUGAGAAGAAUGUGUAUUCUGCUCUUGUUGGAUGGAGUGUUCUCUAUAUGUCUAUCAGGUCUAAUUGGUCUAUAAUGUUCAAGUCUUGUUUCCUCAUUGAUCUUCUGUCUGGAUGACUUAGUCUACUUUGUCUGACAGUAGAAUGGCCACCUCUGCUCUCUUUUGGUUACCAUUUGCAUGGGCUAUCUUUUUCCAUUUUUUCACUUUCAGCCUAUGUGCAUCCUAGAUCUAAAGUGUAAAAUUGUAUCUCUUAUGUGAAAGCAUAUAGUUGGAUCUUGCUUUUUUUUUUUUUUAAUUCAUUCAACCAAUCCGUGUCUUUUGAUUGGGGAGUUUAAUUCAUUUAUAUUUAAAUUAAUUACAGUUAAUAAAUGACUUACUAUUGCCAUUUUGUUGUUUUCUGUGUAUCUUGUAACUAUUUUUUCUCUUUCCUCUUGUACUGCCUUCCUUUGUGUUUCAUUAAUUUAUUUUUUUUUAUUUAUUUAUUUUUGAGAUGGAGUUUCGCUCUUGUUGCCCGAGCUGGAGUGCAGUGGCACGAUCUCGGCUCACUGCAACCUCCACCUCCUGGCUUCAAGUGAUUCUCCUGCCUCAGCCUCCAGAGUAGCUGGGAUUACAGGCAUGCACCACCAUGCCUGGUUAAUUUUUUGUUUUUAGUAGAGACGGGGUUUCACCAUGUUAGCUGAGCUGGUCUCAAACUCCUGACCUCAAGUGAUCUGACCACCUCAGCCCCCUAAAGUGCUGAGAUUACAGGUGUGAGCCACCUCGCUCAGCCUCAUUAAUUUUUGUAGUGACAUGCUUUGAUUCCCUCCUCUUUUCCUUGUGUGUAGCUUCUAUAAGUAUUUUCUUUGUAGUUACUAUGGGGAUUAUAUAAAACAUAUUAAAGUUACAAUAAUGUAUUUUAAACUGAUACAACUUAACUUCAAUCACUUACAAAAACUACUUUGUUACAUAUUUGUCUGCUGGUGAAUUUUUCAGUUCAGCUAUUUUUCUACUCCAGAUAGUG